UACGGGGGGAGCAAGCGUUGUUCGGAUUUACUGGGCGUAAAGGGCGCGUAGGCGGUCAGCUAAGGUCGGUUGUGAAAUCUCCGAGCUUAACUCGGAAAGGUCAACUGAUACUGUGCGGCUAGAGUGCGGAAGGGGCAACUGGAAUUCUUGGUGUAGCGGUGAAAUGCGUAGAUAUCAAGAGGAACACCUGCGGCGAAGGCGGGUUGCUGGGCCGACACUGACGCUGAGGCGCGAAAGCCAGGGGAGCGAACAGG
Molecule: ribosomal RNA, 254 nt
Filed under: uncultured bacterium
Lineage: Bacteria
Description: partial 16S ribosomal RNA
Rfam family: Bacterial small subunit ribosomal RNA
Source: RNAcentral